GCCAUAGUAUACUAUGUUGAAAAAUGUCAUUUUUCAGCACGUUGUGAAAUCAUGCCAUGUGAUGAAAUAAUGUAAAGCAGGCUGUGAAAAACACUCCAGAAAGGUUUUCUUUGAAAAAAAAAAAUCAUCAUGAAUUUUGGCGCAAAAACAUGCCAUAGUAUACUAUGUCAAAAGAAAAUGCGAUUUUUCAACAUGUAAAAACAUGCCAUAUUAUGACAUAAUGUAAAGGAGGCCGUGAAAAACACUCCAGAAAGGUUUUCUUUGAAAAAAAAAAAACAUCAUGAAUUUUGGCGCAAAAAAACGCCAUAGUAUACUAUGUCAAAAGAAAAUGCGAUUUUUCAACAUGUAAAAACAUGCCAUAUGAUGAAAUAAUGUAAAGUAGGCCGUGAAAAACACUCCAGAAAGGUUUUCUUUGAAAAAAAAAAAUCAUCAUGAAUUUUGGCGCAAAAAAACGCCAUAGUAUACUAUGUCGAAAAAUGUCAUUUUUCAACAUGUUGUGAAAACAUGCCAUAUGAUGAAAUAAUGUAAAGCAGGCUGUGAAAAACACUCCAGAAAGGUUUUCUUUGAAAAAAAAAAUCAUCAUGAAUUUUGGCGCAAAAAUACGCCAUAGUAUACUAUGUCGAAAAAUGGCAUUUUUCAACAUGUUGUGAAAACAUGCCAUAUGAUGAAAUAAUGUAAAGCAGGCUGUGAAAAACACUCCAGAAAGGUUUUCUUUGAAAAAAAAAUCAUCAUGAAUUUUGGCGCAAAAAAACGCCAUAGUAUACUAUGUCGAAAAAAAAAUGCGAUUUUUCAACAUGUUGUAAAUACGUGCCAUAUGAUGAAAUAAUGUAAAAGAGGCCGUGAAAAACACUAUGGUAAGGUUCUCGUUGAAAAAAAAAUUUAUGAAUUUUGGUGCAAAUAAACGCCAUAGUAUAUACUAUGUCGAAAAAAAAUGCCAUAUUUCAACAUGUUGUAAAAACGUGCCAUAUGAUGAAAUAAUGUAAAGUAGGCCGUGAAAAACACUCCAGAAAGGUUUUCUUUGAAAAAAAAAAUCAUCAUGAAUUUUGGC
Molecule: long non-coding RNA, 1048 nt
Organism: Amphiprion ocellaris (clown anemonefish)
Lineage: Eukaryota; Metazoa; Chordata; Actinopteri; Pomacentridae
Source: Ensembl